GAGUCAAAGAAGGAUGUGAGCACUGAAGAAAGGCACAGAGAGAUGCAACACUGCUGUUAUUGAAAAUGGAGGAAGGGAGCUGUGAGUCAAGGUGUGUGGGCAUUAUCUGGAAGCUGGAAAGGGCAGGGAAAGAGCUUAUCCCCUAGAGACUACAGAAAGGAGGGCAGCAUCUGCUGAUACCUUCAGUUUCUUUUAGCCCAGUGAGACCAGCGUUGGACUUUUUUGUAAAGAACUAUAAGGCGGCUACUCCUGGCAGAAAGAUGAUGACUUGACUCUACUGGUUUGGCAAACCCAGCUAAAAUACAUAGUUGUAUAUUCUAGUUGUGAGUGCUUCCGGUUGUGCUAUGUGGGACACCACCUCAGCGUGGCCUGAUGAGCGGUGCCAUGUCCGUGCCCAGGAUCCAAACCAGCAAAACCGUGGGCCCCGAAGCAGAGCGAACGAGCUUAACUACCCGGCCACAGGGCUAGCCCCUAUUAAAACUUUUUAAGUUAAAAACUGGGAUGUCAGUUGCUACCCACACUGAAUAUAAAUUUAGAAAUUCUUUCUACACUGCAUAAUCUUGCUUAUAAUCAGGUCUAUUUUAUUCCUUACUUUCUUGGUAUUUGCUCGAGUAUUUAUCAAAAGAUAAUUUGCCCAUCACUAAGAAAAGGUAAAUAUUUAAGUAAGGGAUUUUAUCACAAUCAGGGCUUUCUCACAGAAAUGGUGUAAAUUAAUGUGUCCAAAUGUCAUUUGGUAAAAAUAUGCUUCCAAAUUAGUUUUUAACAAAGUAUUCUGAUAAAAAUAAUUGAUGGAAAAAAUAACCUGACUCAAAUAUAUAAAAAAAUUAUUGAUUUUUCAUGCAUGUUUUAACAUGGAUUAAGAUAAAAUGUAUGCUCAAAUAUUUAAAAUAUACUUAUUUACAAUGUUCUGCAUUAUAUUUUCUACUUCUUCCCUGAAAGUAAUAUAAAACCUUAAAGCCUAGAUGAAAGCUAAAAUCUCAAAAAAUUGAUAGGAUUUUUUAAGUGAAUCCAAAAUAAGAAAUAUUUCUUAUGUUAUAAAACAACCACAGGGAUUUCAGUUUUUAAAUAAAUAAAAUGAUUUUGCCUUCAGGAGAUGAGUGUGGACAUUAGAGGAUUAGAAAGAAAGUAUCCAACUUGCAAACUGUUCUACUCUUAGUGAGUUUCUUUUUUAUAUUUGCUUUUAUUAUACACCAUGCUAUUGUCCUCAAAAUUGUAGCCUCAAGCUUAACACUUAAUAAACAUUUACAUGAAUAAUGGCACUAGAUGAAGAGGAUAUAUGUUAUUUAUAAAA
Molecule: long non-coding RNA, 1291 nt
Filed under: Equus caballus (horse)
Lineage: Eukaryota; Metazoa; Chordata; Mammalia; Perissodactyla; Equidae
Description: lncRNA (ENSECAG00000058686.1)
Source: RNAcentral